CAUUUCAAAGCAAAGCUAAGAACAAGAAAAAAGCUGAGUAAACAAAAAUUUUUGCUGAAUUUACGAAAGUGUACACAUUAAGAACUAUAGCAAUAAUUGGUUGAUUGGUGUUGCUUAAUAUUAAAUUUCACUUGAGCAGUCAACAUUCAAAUUGGAAAAAAUCGCUCUACUUGAUGUGUUUCACCGAGAGCUUUGUUUUGUUGUGAAAUCUCCGAUGUGAACGAAACGACUUCAGGCAUAAAAUCGACGCAUUUAAAAAAUAGCGUGGAGAACGUAUGGACUAUGUAACACAUUCCCAAGUUCUCCAAUAAGAACUUUUGUACAAGGGUGCCAUGCUGCUGUUCAAAAAAUUUACUUUGCGGGGCGCCGGCGUAACAUUUGCAAUUGUUGGAUAUUAUAAUCAAAGCUCGUAUGGUUUUGGUGAAGACGAAUCAGCUUCACUUCGUAAUAAACUCGUUCUUAAUUUCGUGUGGUCAAAUAUAUAACUCAGUUUACAAAUCCGUCCAAAGUUCCACGUUGAUUCUUCUGCAUCAUGUUAAGCGGCUUCGACUGCCACACAUAUCCCGUCAACAAAUAAAAACUUAAAAAACAAACGAUAUAUUGCACAAAAGGAAAAAACAAUAAUGUCAAAUAUUUCGUUACUGCAUCAAAUCGUGUGAAGAUGUCUCCAGUUCCUAACACAAAUAUAUGUACAUACCUGCAACUUCACUCCGCACACAAAUUCUGUUUCCAUUGGUAAUUUAGUUAGCUUUUACGGAUUGUAACAUCAACGACAUGUCAACUUUAAUUUCUAACUAAUAUCUCGAAAUAAAGUUCCACUGAACUGAUGCGUUUAAA
Molecule: long non-coding RNA, 837 nt
Organism: Bactrocera neohumeralis
Lineage: Eukaryota; Metazoa; Arthropoda; Insecta; Diptera; Tephritidae
Exons: 2
Source: RefSeq, a predicted model, not a curated record